UGGUCAUUUAGAGGAAGUAAAAGUCGUAACAAGGUUUCCGUAGGUGAACCUGCGGAAGGAUCAUUACUGAUUUGCUUAAUUGCACCACAUGUGUUUUUCUUUGAAACAAACUUGCUUUGGCGGUGGGCCCAGCCUGCCGCCAGAGGUCUAAACUUACAACCAAUUUUUUAUCAACUUGUCACACCAGAUUAUUACUAAUAGUCAAAACUUUCAACAACGGAUCUCUUGGUUCUCGCAUCGAUGAAGAACGCAGCGAAAUGCGAUACGUAAUAUGAAUUGCAGAUAUUCGUGAAUCAUCGAAUCUUUGAACGCACAUUGCGCCCUCUGGUAUUCCGGAGGGCAUGCCUGUUUGAGCGUCGUUUCUCCCUCAAACCGCUGGGUUUGGUGUUGAGCAAUACGACUUGGGUUUGCUUGAAAGACGGUAGUGGUAAGGCGGGAUCGCUUUGACAAUGGCUUAGGUCUAACCAAAAACAUUGCUUGCGGCGGUAACGUCCACCACGUAUAUCUUCAAACUUUGACCUCAAAUCAGGUAGGACUACCCGCUGAACUUAAGCAUAUCAAUAAGCGGAGGAA
This 573-nucleotide ribosomal RNA is filed under the name Candida albicans. RNAcentral's name for it is "eukaryotic LSU rRNA". The stretch from base 206 to 359 matches the Rfam family "5.8S ribosomal RNA". Lineage: Eukaryota; Fungi; Ascomycota; Pichiomycetes; Serinales; Debaryomycetaceae. The record is from RNAcentral.